CUUCGGGGUCAGGGGAGGUCAGGAAGGGAGCAGGCGGGCAGUUACCCUGCACAGCGGCACCCUCUACUGGCAAGGCAGAAAAUGAUACCAGACAGCACCUCCCACCUCUCCCUCUUAAGUACAGGGGUGCAGGGGCAGGGUAAGGAGACAGAAGAAAGAGAACUAGCACAGUGUCACGUAGGGGCUGCAGAACUGAUUAACCCAGGCUCUCUUUAUACGUUUUUAAAUUUCAGAGAUUUGUUAGAGGACUGGCUGCAGAGAAGCAUAAACAUUUCAGGCAAAAAGGAAAAGAGCACUGAAGCUGGGAAUACACCGCAACACAGACAAUGAAUGCCUCACUGCUGCCGGCUCCAGGGCCAGCAGUGGAGAGGCACAGGCUGUUGGACCUUCAUCCCGCCAGGUGCUCUUUCCACAUCCUUCCUCGGGCCAACAAGGGGCAGGAAUGGAAAUACCCGGGACCCACAGGCAGCUGUGAUAACUGAUGUUAAGAGACCCGCAACAGGCAGUGUGUGAGCUCCGGCACGUACUUCUCAGCCUCACGGCUACUCCCCGGGCAGGUCGAGGCCCAAGGAAUGACCCAGCAACUGCUCCUUACCCAGCACACUCUCUUUACUGCCACCUGCAAUUACGCUGUGAAGAUGACUGGGUGUGGCCAUCAUGAUUCAGAGAAAUCAAGAUCUAUGACCAUUUUAGGCAAAGAGAGAAACCUGGAGAAUUGCUGAGGACUACUGAACCUUGUUUUGCUUUUUUAAAAAAUACUAAAUCCUCACUUCAGCAUAUUUAGUUGUCAUUAAAAUUAAGCUGAUAUUAUUAAGGGGUUCAUGAACUGAGGUGUCACUCACAAUUACUGCCUUCCAAGUAUUCAUGGGGUAGAUUUCAGUAAUUCUUGUUUGCUUCUGGCUUAGAAAUUGUCAGAAUGAUUUUUCUUUUAUACUUUCCAAUACUUGACUUAAUAUGCAUUUAGUGACUAUUCUGUUUUUUUCAAUAUACAGUUUACAAGAUGACAGAAGAAUCCCAGUUCUUAGGUUAGAAUUGGAUUUCUCCCUCUACAAUUACACAA
This 1060-nucleotide long non-coding RNA is filed under the name Pan troglodytes (chimpanzee). Its description in RNAcentral is "long non-coding RNA NONPTRT007801". The record is from RNAcentral. Lineage: Eukaryota; Metazoa; Chordata; Mammalia; Primates; Hominidae.